CCGGCACGGGUGAGUAACACGUAUGCAAUCCACCUGUAACAGGGGGAUAACCCGGAGAAAUCCGGACUAAUACCCCAUAAUAUGGGCGCUCCGCAUGGAGAGCCCAUUAAAGAGAGCAAUUUUGGUUACAGACGAGCAUGCGCUCCAUUAGCCAGUUGGCGGGGUAACGGCCCACCAAAGCGACGAUGGAUAGGGGUUCUGAGAGGAAGGCCCCCACAUUGGAACUGAGACACGGUCCAA
This 240-nucleotide ribosomal RNA is filed under the name uncultured bacterium. Its description in RNAcentral is "partial 16S ribosomal RNA". It matches the Rfam family "Bacterial small subunit ribosomal RNA", at positions 100 to 334 of the family's 1533-position model. The record is from RNAcentral.